RNAcentral lists this transfer RNA (89 nucleotides) under Myxococcales bacterium LLY-WYZ-16_1. Its description in RNAcentral is "tRNA-Ser". It matches the Rfam family "tRNA". Rfam says of the family: Transfer RNA (tRNA) molecules are approximately 80 nucleotides in length. Their secondary structure includes four short double-helical elements and three loops (D, anti-codon, and T loops). Lineage: Bacteria; Pseudomonadati; Myxococcota; Myxococcia; Myxococcales. The record is from RNAcentral.
GGAGACGUGGCCGAGUCCGGUUGAAGGCGCUUGAUUCGAAAUCAAGUAACGGGGCAACCCGUUCGGGGGUUCGAAUCCCUCCGUCUCCG